RNAcentral lists this ribosomal RNA (249 nucleotides) under uncultured Lactobacillus sp. Its description in RNAcentral is "partial 16S ribosomal RNA". It matches the Rfam family "Bacterial small subunit ribosomal RNA", at positions 113 to 355 of the family's 1533-position model. Lineage: Bacteria; Bacillati; Bacillota; Bacilli; Lactobacillales; Lactobacillaceae. The record is from RNAcentral.
CAACGUGGGUAACCUGCCCAAGAGAUCGGGAUAACACCUGGAAACAGAUGCUAAUACCGGAUAACAACAGAUGAUGCCUAUCAACUGUUUAAAAGAUGGUUCUGCUAUCACUCUUGGAUGGACCUGCGGUGCAUUAGCUAGUUGGUAGGGUAACGGCCUACCAAGGCGAUGAUGCAUAGCCGAGUUGAGAGACUGGUCGGCCACAUUGGGACUGAGACACGGCCCAAACUCCUACGGGAGGCAGCAGCC